CAAGUUGCUGAUGGGAACUGAUUUGUAACGAACUCAUGUCCAAUGGUUAUUGAACUGUUACUAAUUUGUUAUGUCUAUAUUAUUGUUACAUAAUUUUUUCUAUCAAACGCAUUAUUGUACUAACGUAUUUAGACAGGUAGACGGGAUCUUGGACUACUUUUUGGUCAUGUAAUCACCUAUACUUCUUUGUUGAACCUUUCAAAGAAUGGAACCUUUUACGAGGAGGACUUCGAUCAUAGCAAGGGUUUACAGGAGGGAGGCGGAAGGCUUGACACAUGCUUUUGUUACUCUGGACUAUAUGUUUAGAUGCAGAUAAUGUUGGGACUACACUUUUGAUCUCUAACAUUGUACUUAGAUUUUAAGACAAUUAUGUUGUGCAUGCAGUUUUUGUAAAUAGGUUUGAUCUUAAGAAUUGUAUGGAUGGAGCGUUACUUGGCUAAGGUUGUAAUUACCGUAAAUGGCUAAAGUGUAAG
RNAcentral lists this long non-coding RNA (473 nucleotides) under Coffea arabica (coffee). Its description in RNAcentral is "long non-coding RNA (CARA_LNC005735)". Lineage: Eukaryota; Viridiplantae; Streptophyta; Magnoliopsida; Gentianales; Rubiaceae. The record is from RNAcentral.